Molecule: unclassified non-coding RNA, 209 nt
Filed under: rhizosphere metagenome
Description: partial ribosomal RNA internal transcribed spacer region
Source: RNAcentral
ACGUAUCCAACGUUAAAAACCCCGUGAACCAUACCAAACUGUUGCCUCGGCGGGGUCACGCCCCGGGUGCGUCGCAGCCCCGGAACCAGGCGCCCACCGGAGGGACCAACCAAACUCUUUCUGUAGUCCCCUCGCGGACGUUAUUUCUUACAGCUCUGAGCAAAAAUUCAAAAUGAACCAAAACUUUCAACAACGGAUCUCUUGGUUCU